RNAcentral lists this ribosomal RNA (440 nucleotides) under uncultured bacterium. RNAcentral's name for it is "partial 16S ribosomal RNA". It matches the Rfam family "Bacterial small subunit ribosomal RNA", at positions 338 to 795 of the family's 1533-position model. The record is from RNAcentral.
CCUACGGGUGGCAGCAGUGGGGGAUAUUGCACAAUGGGGGAAACCCUGAUGCAGCGACGCCGCGUGAGUGAAGAAGUACUUCGGUAUGUAAAGCUCUAUCAGUAGGGAAGAAAAUGACAGUAUCUAUCCAAUUAGCCCUGGACAAUAACGAGCCAGCAGCCGCGGCACUACGCCGGGGGCAAGCGUUAUCCGGAUUUACUGGGUGUAAAGGGAGCGUAGUCGGUUGGGUAAGUCUGUUGUGAAAGCCCGGGGUCCAACCCCGGGACUGCUUUUGAAACUGUGUAACUGGAGUGCAGGAGGGGCAGGCGGAAUUCCUGGUGUAGCGGUGAAAUGCGUAGAUAUCAGGAGGAACACCGGCGGCGAAGGCGGCCUGCUGGACUGAAACUGACGUUGAGGCUCGAAAGCGUGGGGAGCAAACAGGAUUAGAUACCCGUGUAGUC